CGGCGGACGGGUGAGUAACACGUGGAUAACCUACCUAUAAGACUGGGAUAACUUCGGGAAACCGGAGCUAAUACCGGAUAAUAUAUUGAACCGCAUGGUUCAAUAGUGAAAGACGGUUUUGCUGUCACUUAUAGAUGGAUCCGCGCCGCAUUAGCUAGUUGGUAAGGUAACGGCUUACCAAGGCAACGAUGCGUAGCCGACCUGAGUGGGUGAUCGGCCACACUGGAACUGAGACACGGUCCAG
RNAcentral lists this ribosomal RNA (244 nucleotides) under uncultured Staphylococcus sp. Its description in RNAcentral is "partial 16S ribosomal RNA". It matches the Rfam family "Bacterial small subunit ribosomal RNA", at positions 96 to 334 of the family's 1533-position model. Lineage: Bacteria; Bacillati; Bacillota; Bacilli; Caryophanales; Staphylococcaceae. The record is from RNAcentral.